UGUAUUUAUGUCUGUACUAGUGCAGGUGUAUUUAUGUCUGUACUAGUGCAGGUGUAUUUAUGUCUGUACUAGUGCAGGUGUAUUUAUGUCUGUACUAGUGCAGGUGUAUUUAUGUCUGUACUGGUGCAGGUGUAUUUAUGUCUGUACUAGUGCAGGUGUAUUUCUGUCUGUACUAGUGCAGGUGUAUUUAUGUCUGUACUGGUGCAGGUGUAUUUAUGUCUGUACUAGUGCAGGUGUAUUUAUGUCUGUACUAGUGCAGGUGUAUUUCUGUCUGUACUAGUGCAGGUGUAUUUAUGUCUGUACUAGUGCAGGUGUAUUUAUGUCUGUACUAGUGCAGGUGUAUUUAUGUCUGUACUAGUGCAGGUGUAUUUCUGUCUGUACAAGUGCAGGUGUAUUUAUGUCUGUACAAGUGCAGGUGUAUUUCUGUCUGUACUAGUGCAGGUGUAUUUAUGUCUGUACUAGUGCAGGUGUAUUUAUGUCUGUACUAGUGCAGGUGUAUUUAUGUCUGUACUAGUGCAGGUGUAUUUAUGUCUGUACUAGUGCAGGUGUAUUUAUGUCUGUACUAGUGCAGGUGUAUUUCUGUCUGUACUAGUGCAGGUGUAUUUAUGUCUGUACUAGUGCAGGUGUAUUUAUGUCUGUACUAGUGCAGGUGUAUUUAUGUCUGUACUAGUGCAGCUGUAUUUAUGUCUGUACUUUGCUGACUAUGGAGUGGUUAUAUAGAUUCAUGUUGAAUUUCAAAUCAAUCCCCUAGACUAGCUUGAGCAAAAACCUGAACGAGCAGCUGUUGCAGGUCAAACUUAGCAGUACUCAUUCAUACCUUACCUUCAGUAUGUUGUGAUUCCAAAUACUCUUCUGAUAGUUUAAUGAACUAAUUUGUU
Long non-coding RNA from Oncorhynchus keta (chum salmon), 878 nucleotides. RefSeq lists it as uncharacterized. NCBI's taxonomy places the organism in Eukaryota, Metazoa, Chordata, Actinopteri, Salmoniformes, Salmonidae. The record is from RefSeq and is a predicted model, not a curated record. The transcript is spliced from 5 exons.